CCUACGGGAGGCAGCAGUGGGGAAUAUUGCACAAUGGGCGCAAGCCUGAUGCAGCCAUGCCGCGUGUGUGAAGAAGGCCUUCGGGUUGUAAAGCACUUUCAGCGGGGAGGAAGGCGGUGAGGUUAAUAACCUCAUCGAUUGACGUUACCCGCAGAAGAAGCACCGGCUAACUCCGUGCCAGCAGCCGCGGUAAUACGGAGGGUGCAAGCGUUAAUCGGAAUUACUGGGCGUAAAGCGCACGCAGGCGGUCUGUCAAGUCGGAUGUGAAAUCUCCGGGCUCAACCUGGGAACUGCAUUCGAAACUGGCAGGCUAGAGUCUUGUAGAGGGGGGUAGAAUUCCAGGUGUAGCGGUGAAAUGCGUAGAGAUCUGGAGGAAUACCGGUGGCGAAGGCGGCCCCCUGGACAAAGACUGACGCUCAGGUGCGAAAGCGUGGGGAGCAAACAGGAUUAGAUACCCGUGUAGUC
This 465-nucleotide ribosomal RNA is filed under the name uncultured Klebsiella sp. RNAcentral's name for it is "bacterial SSU rRNA". It matches the Rfam family "Bacterial small subunit ribosomal RNA", at positions 338 to 795 of the family's 1533-position model. Lineage: Bacteria; Pseudomonadati; Pseudomonadota; Gammaproteobacteria; Enterobacterales; Enterobacteriaceae. The record is from RNAcentral.